This is a non-coding RNA of Lepisosteus oculatus (spotted gar), 561 nucleotides long. Lineage: Eukaryota; Metazoa; Chordata; Actinopteri; Semionotiformes; Lepisosteidae. The record is from RefSeq and is a predicted model, not a curated record.
GACCACCCCUUUGGAUCAUCCUUUGCGGCUUCGCUCCAAGUUUCCUCGCUCUGGACCCCUGCACGUGCGUCUGGACAGAGUUUUGGUUUCGUUCUCGCCUGCCUGUGCACAGCCUGCUCAGCCCCUGCUCCUCCAAUCGCAUUCCGCCUCCCGCCUCCAGACCCGAGACUUUCAUCAGCUGACUGCGGACGUGUUGCAUUUUAGUCAUGUUAUCUUGCAAUCGAUGUAAGUUAGCAGAGACAAAUACUGCGAACGGAGUGGAUCAUCUUUCUCAGAUUCGACCUUUCAACAUCUCAUCAGGAAUGUUCAGGGGUGUCAUGCAGGACCCCUUACUUACAAAGGAGGAGGUUCGUUGGGCAUGUGGUAUACUGUACAUCUUUAAAAAAGCUGAAUGCGAUAUUCAUUCUGGCUUUGGGAUACAUGCACAUACAUGCUCCUUUAGAAUCACAGCUACGGUUUUGCGGUUCUGUGGGGCUUUAUGAACAGUGAAGUGGAGACGUGGUGCUCUGUCACUCUGAAAUGCAUUUUGUUUUGCAAAAGAGGAAGAUCUGGUUUGACAGA